This is a non-coding RNA of Ictidomys tridecemlineatus (thirteen-lined ground squirrel), 1754 nucleotides long. The record is from RefSeq and is a predicted model, not a curated record. NCBI's taxonomy places the organism in Eukaryota, Metazoa, Chordata, Mammalia, Rodentia, Sciuridae.
GCCAUGACUUCUCAUCAUCCUCAAGAAAUUUUACCAGAGCAGGGAAUAAAAGAGAGAAGGAAGAUAUGGAAAGAGUGACCUUGACCAUUUACAACUAAGAAAACCAUGGGAAAAUAUAGCGAAGACCUACCAAUGUGAAGAAUGCAACACACUGAAGAACUUCAUUCAACAUCACAGUGUUCAUACAGGAGAUAUGCCAUGUAAAGAAUGUGAAAAAACUUCAAAUAAAAGCUCCAAUCUUAUUUGUCACUAGUGGACAUACACUGGAGAGAUGCCCCACAUAUGUAAACAAUUUUGCGAAGCUUUCAGUCAAAAACCAAGCCUUAAAAAUCACCAGAGAAUUCAUAUUGGAGAGAAGCCCUACAAAUGUAAAGUGUGUGGCAUGAGUUUUAAUAGAAACUCAAAUCUUGAUUUCCACAACAGGAUUCAUACUGGAGAGAAGCCCUACAAAUGUAAGUUGUGUGACAAGAGUUUUAAUCAAUCAUCAUCACUUACUCAGCACCAGCGAAUCCACACUGGAGAGAAGCCCUACAAAUGUGAAGAGUGUGGCAAAGCUUUUAAUAGCAUCUCACGUCUUAGUUGCCACAAGAGGAUUCAUACUGGUAAGAAGCCAUACAAAUGUGAAGAAUGUGGCAAGGAUUUUCAUCAACAAUCAUCACUUACUCGACACCAGAAAACCCAUCCUAGAGAGAAGUCCUAUAAAUGUGAAGAAUGGCAAACCUUUUAAAAUUGAAGAUCACAUCUUAGUAACAUUAUAGAGUAUACUGGAGAGAAGUUUUACAAGGAAAACAUUGCAUCCGUGUCUUUAACGAUGAACUACUGUGAAAUAAUGGUUGAUUCAACACUAUUUCACACCAGAGAGAUGAUAGCACAGAAAUUAUACAAGUGUAAAAUAGGUGUCAGUCUCCAACAGUUGUUCACACCCUACUCAAAACCUCAGAAUUCAUACAAGUAAGAGGACAUGUGGAAAAAUUUUUGCAAAGCUUUUGGACAUUGAUCAAACAUUUUUGAAACACUGGGUUUCUAUAUGGUAUAAAUCCUCCAAAGUAUGUGUCCAAGACUGUAUUCAAAUUUCAGACAUUUUUCAGUUUCUUACCUCAUACCUGUAGAAAAUGUGGAAUACCAUUUGUCCAAAGUAUGUACCUUAGAUAACAGCAAAAUAUUUACAAAAACACCUUGACAAGAAAUUUACUACAAAUUUUUAUACUUAUCUAUAGCCCAUUCCUUGAAGUAUUUGGGACCUAGGAGGGAAAAAAUCAUUUAAAUGUAGAAAAUGGGUAAUUGCUUUUGACAUUGGCUGAAAAUUUUCUUAACAUCUUUAGCUGAUAUUGUAGAAAUGAGGAAAUACAAAUAUAGAAUAGUGCAUCCCUAAAAGGAUAUAAUUUUACUAUAAAUCAAAAAAUUACUACAUAUUCUCAGUUUUCACAGCUGGAGUAAACAUAAUUCUCAUUGUUGAUUAUUGCAGAAGUCUCUUAAGGUUUAUAUGAAAUUUAAAUUUUUAGUUUUUAUUUUUGUACUUAAACUUAAGGACACUUAAUCAGUAAACUGCAUCCCCAGAUUUUUUUUUUCAUUUUUAUUUAAAGAUACGGUUUGCUAAGUUGAUUAGGGCCUCACCAAGGUAUGGUUUUUAACUUUCAAAGCUUCUCACGUCCCUAGGGUCACAGACAUGGACCACCAUGCCCGUUUUACAGAGGAUUUUUUACUUAUUUGCCUUACGGAUGCAAUUUGUUACUAAAUAAAGUGAAUUUCUUAAU